UUAAUUUAUUUAUUUUAUUUCUAUAUGAAACAAAAUGUAUUUGGUAAGAUGACUAAAGAAAUAUACACUUAUUAAAACAUUAUUACAUACAGAAUAAGAUACACAUGUAAAUACAUCUACAAGAAUUUUGUAUUGAUUGCUAAAAUACCUAACAACUUUUGCAUACAUAUUGGAUUAAGUACUACAACUUAAAGCCCUGCUUCAAUAGUAUAGUUCAAUAAGUAAAUAUUCCAAAAUAAUGGGGUGUUGAAAUCAUCAGCAAUAAUAUCAGAACAUAAACAAUAAUCGUAUGUCUAUAUUUUUUAUUGCCUUUUACAGUAAUCAGUAAUAAUAAAGUCCUAAAGCUUGUGAGCAAAGAUAUUUAAGAAUAGUGAAAAAUUGAUUUAAAUACACCUUAAAUUGCUAUUUAUUCCAAUCAGCAUAAGUUCUGAAAUUACACACUUUUAUCAUGAUGUCACAAACCAGUUAAAGCUGGGUCCCUGUUUAACGAAUGAUUUGUGGUAUUAAACUUGCCACAUUUAAACUAUGUUAAAACACUUUAAACAAAAACAAAAACAAUUAAAACAUUUCAAACAAAGCAUUGUUAUAUUACUUUGAAUUUAUGUAAAAAAUAUUUGGAGCCGGGUCAACCAUCAAUUGAAUUUCAAAAUGUUCACUUUCUAAAGUAAUUACUCAUUUCCCUCAGCUCAUUAGGGCUUUACCCGAAAAAAAUGUCAGAAAGAGCAAGGCCAUUGAUUAGUUAUUACAGUUUUCUAUGUAAAACAAAUAUUGCACUUUGAUUUUAAUGUAUUGGUGGUAUCCCUUAAUUUCAUGGAUGUUCUACCUCCAGGACAGGCAACACUUUUGUCUGGACUGAUGACCCUUUCAAGCAUCACAGUGAAGUGAGUUGACCCAACAGGAAGUUGUCUAUAAAGUGACUGUUUCUCUAAAUUGCCUAAAUAGCAAUAAGUUGUACAUAUAUUUGCACAGCAAAUUUCAAAUUGAACAGUGUAUAGUAUAUGGGAAUACUUUGCAGCAUAAUGAAUUGAGUUAUUUCCCUUUGACUGUACAAUUGUAGGUUAAAAUAUACCACUGAAUACACAAAAAGAGAACAGGCAAGUCAAUAUUGUUUAUAUUAAUUCCAACAACCACCAAUUGAAUGUAAAUAAUAUAUAGAAAAAUAACAUUAAUACAUAUAGUUUAUAAAAUAAUAGAAACUUUGAAUAUUGAUCAUAUAAAAUAUAUCAAAUAGAAAAU
This 1236-nucleotide long non-coding RNA is filed under the name Mytilus galloprovincialis (Mediterranean mussel). The record is from RNAcentral. Lineage: Eukaryota; Metazoa; Mollusca; Bivalvia; Mytilida; Mytilidae.